Homo sapiens (human) is the source of this 588-nucleotide long non-coding RNA. Ensembl annotates it as long intergenic non-protein coding RNA 970. NCBI's taxonomy places the organism in Eukaryota, Metazoa, Chordata, Mammalia, Primates, Hominidae. The record is from Ensembl.
GCUCUGUGGGUGGAUGAGGGGAAGCGGAGAGCAGGAAUGGCAGGAGAGCGGUGAGAGACCUCCGUCCCAGUGAGGAUGACAUGUUCUAACUCAGGAAAUGAAUAGAUGCUCUUGCGAUUGAAGAAAAAUCUACGCUGGAGGCAGACAGGCUGGCAGAUAAGGAGACUGAAGCAUCUAGAGUUGGAGUAAUUUCCACAAGAUCACAGAGGCAAGAUUUCACUCUGUCACCCAGACUGGAGUGCAGUGGCACAAACAUAGCUCACUGAAGCCUCAAACUCCUGGGCUCAAGAGAUCCUUCUGCUUCAGCCUCCUGAGUAGCUGGGACUUCAGAUGCUGUCUCUGAAUUUGAGUCGGAGUUUCCUGACCCUUUGCAAGCUGCAUUUUAGAAUCAGAGGAAUCCCAGUCCUCUCUCUCUCACUGACCCCGAAGAUAAGCAUUGGAAAGGGGAGCUUUGGGGAAAUGAAUCUGCCCUGUCAUCUGCGUAUAGAGCUAAUCUUAAAUCCCAACUGCCAAAUGGAUCCUGAGGUGUCAGAAACUCUCCCGAGAUAAGGGGGCUUCUAGCAACCAUCUGCAUUCUGGACCCAGGUA